CAGAGAGGGUAACCAGGGGGGAAGGGGGGGGGGCUAAUAUUUGUCUCACAAACUAUCCAAUGGCUUUACCUCAAUGGAAAACCGUCCAUUUAAUCUGUUCAGAAGCAGUUGACACAGGUCACAGUUCCAAACAAUGUGAAGGGAAAAAGAGAAACAAGAGAAAUCUGGAUCUAUACCUGAAGGGACACGUGCUGGUGUAUGUGGAUGUCAUUAGGAAGAUUCGGGAUUUUUGUUGUGUCCUUCAACUCACUGAACUGGAGAUAAUUUUUGAAAUUUGGAAAUCAAUGUGAUUGGAAAAGUUACUGAGACAUGUCAGCAAAAGCCAUUGGACCCCCAUCUCCUCCUCCAGAUUUAUUCCAAUAACUGCAUCACGUACUCUCAACGUGAGUACAAGGGGGAGACAAAGCAUUUGUAACAUGGGGAACUGAUUAAGGCUGUUCAGCCAUCGGGUGAGAUCGCGCAAGUGGCUGAGGCACUCGAACAGGCACUUUGGUGAUGCCCCCAAAAACUCAAUGGCGUAUCGACUUUUUCGGAACAAUGGAGUUGAGGAAUCGGACGAAGAUGAUUAUAGGGGUGCGCUAAGAUCCAAAAAUUUCGAGGUAAAGCUGACAGGUGGGUGGAGUCCACGGCAAUACUUGGCUGAACACACCUCAGGCCACACCUACUAUCGAUCAGUGCUCCUUCAUAUUUUUUUCUUUACAACCUGCCGGGUAUUACUACAGCUGCUGUUUCAAGGAUACAAUUGUACAAUUGUUGAAGACAUGUGGGAAAAGAUAAACGAAUGGAGACAACUGGGAAAUUACUUUCGAUUCGACGGUAAUGGCUGAGUGGUUAAGGCAUUAGGCUGAUGUAACGAGAAUCGUGGGUUCGAUUCCCGGCCGAUGCUCAAAUUUUCGAAGGUCGUCUCUAAUUUGUCGAUCCCGUUGUCGACUGAGUGGAAGUAUCGUAAAGGAGACGAAAGAGCGGGGACUCUACCUGACCAAAGGUUUCUCCCCUUCGCGUAGUUUCUUCGUCCAUAGUAAAUGCUAUGCAAGCGAUGAGGAGAGGGGAGAGGAAAUAAAAACAAAUAAUAAAAAUAAAAAACAA
Diachasmimorpha longicaudata is the source of this 1086-nucleotide long non-coding RNA. RefSeq lists it as uncharacterized. The transcript has 3 exons. NCBI's taxonomy places the organism in Eukaryota, Metazoa, Arthropoda, Insecta, Hymenoptera, Braconidae. The record is from RefSeq and is a predicted model, not a curated record.